UAGAUAGUAGGCGGGGUAACGGCCCACCUAGUCUUCGAUGGAUAGGGGUUCUGAGAGGAAGGUCCCCCACAUUGGAACUGAGACACGGUCCAAACUCCUACGGGAGGCAGCAGUGAGGAAUAUUGGUCAAUGGGCGAGAGCCUGAACCAGCCAAGUAGCGUGAAGGAUGACUGCCCUAUGGGUUGUAAACUUCUUUUAUAAAGGAAUAAAGUCGGGUAUGCAUACCCGUUUGCAUGUACUUUAUGAAUAAGGAUCGGCUAACUCCGUGCCAGCAGCCGCGGUAAUACGGAGGAUCCGAGCGUUAUCCGGAUUUAUUGGGUUUAAAGGGAGCGUAGAUGGAUGUUUAAGUCAGUUGUGAAAGUUUGCGGCUCAACCGUAAAAUUGCAGUUGAUACUGGAUAUCUUGAGUGCAGUUGAGGCAGGCGGAAUUCGUGGUGUAGCGGUGAAAUGCUUAGAUAUCACGAAGAACUCCGAUUGCGAAGGCAGCCUGCUAAGCUGCAACUGACAUUGAGGCU
Molecule: ribosomal RNA, 514 nt
Filed under: uncultured bacterium
Lineage: Bacteria
Description: bacterial SSU rRNA
Rfam family: Bacterial small subunit ribosomal RNA
Source: RNAcentral